Molecule: long non-coding RNA, 431 nt
Filed under: Bos taurus (domestic cattle)
Lineage: Eukaryota; Metazoa; Chordata; Mammalia; Artiodactyla; Bovidae
Description: long non-coding RNA NONBTAT025361
Source: RNAcentral
CAAAGUCAAUUAAAUUUUAUUACAACCAAGAAUAUAAAAUAAAUGCAAUGUAAUUCAUUUCUAACAGUCAUUUCAAGAAGGAUGUCAGGAAAACUCAAAAGCGAGAAACACUUGGCUCCAAAGCUGCAAGCUUGUCCUGCACCCGGGGAGCAGGCCCCGCUGGGGGCAGCCGGCUUUCAAUGCACACCUCACAGGGCGUGGCAAAGCAUACACAGUCAUGUCUAAAGUCGUACAAACAGGGAUGCGUGCAGAAAAAUGGCUGAAAAGAGACAAGAACAGGUACACUUCACAUAGAGGAAUUAUGGGAAAUACAAACUAGGCAGUUUAGAAAGGAUAUACUACAUAACAUAUAUAAAAAGUACUUUAAAUUGUUGUUAAAAAGGACAUCUUCAGUCCAGAUUUUGUGUAAUACUUUUAGUGUCUACACAGAC